AAUGUUUUACUUUUCUGUAAAAUGAUUUACUGGAAAAUAUUUUCUGGUGUUUGAUUGAAUCUGUGUAAAAUAUUUUCGGCUAUUUGGCAGAUUUCCUGGAAAUAUUUUUCGAAAAAAUUGUUUUUACAUAUAUUGAUAUAUAUUAAUAAAUUUUUAUAUUUUAAAUUGUUUUUACAUAUAUUUCAAUGAUUUAUUUACAAUAAUACUCAAUUAUUAAGCCACAAUAUUAAUCGUUAUAAAUUGAAAAAAAUUAAUAUCAAAUAAAUUAUUUGUAAUUGUGUUAAAAAAACAAGUAUUGAAUAAUUAAAAAAAUAAGUUACUGGAAAAUCGAUAAAUAGAAGCAAUUUUCUACCGGAAAUGAAGGAAGGAAUGAAGGAGGGGAUAGAGAGGAGAGCACGGAAAAUGUCUUACGGAAAUUGAAAGAGUAAGACAUUUUCCCUAAAAUGUAACCCAUUUUCCCUUGUUUUGGUGUUCAUUUUCCAAAUGAAAAAUGUUUUCCGCCAAUCAAACGCUGGAAAAGUUGGAAAUGAUUUUCCGUAAAAUCAAUUCAUUCAAUCAAACAGACCC
RNAcentral lists this long non-coding RNA (567 nucleotides) under Gossypium barbadense (sea-island cotton). RNAcentral's name for it is "long non-coding RNA (GBAR_LNC020758)". The record is from RNAcentral. Lineage: Eukaryota; Viridiplantae; Streptophyta; Magnoliopsida; Malvales; Malvaceae.